GAUGAACGCUAGCUACAGGCUUAACACAUGCAAGUCGAGGGGCAGCAUGACGGAAGCUUGCUUCCGUUGAUGGCGACCGGCGCACGGGUGAGUAACGCGUAUCCAACCUGCCCUUGUCCAUCGGAUAACCCGUCGAAAGGCGGACUAACACGAUAUGCAGUUCACCGCAGGCAUCUAACGUGAACGAAAUGUGAAGGAGAAGGAUGGGGAUGCGUCUGAUUAGCUUGUUGGCGGGGUAACGGCCCACCAAGGCGACGAUCAGUAGGGGUUCUGAGAGGAAGGUCCCCCACAUUGGAACUGAGACACGGUCCAAACUCCUACGGGAGGCAGCAGUGAGGAAUAUUGGUCAAUGGGCGAGAGCCUGAACCAGCCAAGUAGCGUGCAGGAUGACGGCCCUAUGGGUUGUAAACUGCUUUUAUAUGGGGAUAAAGUGAGCCACGUGUGGCUUAUUGCAGGUACCGUAUGAAUGAGGACCGGCUAAUUCCGUGCCAGCAGCCGCAGUAA
RNAcentral lists this ribosomal RNA (504 nucleotides) under uncultured bacterium. RNAcentral's name for it is "partial 16S ribosomal RNA". It matches the Rfam family "Bacterial small subunit ribosomal RNA", at positions 28 to 523 of the family's 1533-position model. The record is from RNAcentral.